AGUGGAUCUCCCCGAGAGGAUAAAGAUCAGAUUCGUGAUUCUGCUCCUGAAAUUCGUGAUGUAUUUGGGGAUUUUGACGAUGAUGAAGAGGAGGAUGGAUAUGCAGUUCAUCAUGACAUUGAACAUGACUCAAAUAGAUCCCCUGUUGAAGAAGAGGGCCAUGAAAAAGGCCUGAGGCCAGAGGAUAUACUUGCAGAUGAAGAUCAUAGGUAUGGGUCAGAAGAGGAAAAUUAUGAGAUAAAAACUAAAGAGAAACCACUUGGGCCACCAUUGGAGUUAGAGGUUCCGCUGCAACCACCUCCAGCUCUUCCAGAAAAGGUGCCAAAGUGAAAAGUAUGCAGUUUAAAAUGAUAGCUCAGGUCGUUAAAGUCGGAAACUGAAAAGGCGAGUUGAACAUAGCCGAUUAGCCGAUUCGGAUGUUAGUGGAAAAUGGUUGAAAUGGCAAAGUCUAAAUUGGAGUCCUUUAAAUUGGCAUUUAGGGAAGGAGAAACUGUUGAGAGCACAAAAUACACUUGAACAAGGAAAAAUAUGACAACACAGUUAAAGAAUGCACAAAAGCAUUAGAUCUAAAUCCAGUGUACAUUAAAGCUUUAGUAAAAAGAGGAGAAGCUCAUGAAAAGCUUGAACAUUUUGAAGAAGCCAUUGCUGAUAUGAAAAAGAUCUUAGAAAUUGAUCCUUCAAAUGAUCAAGCUAGGAAGGCCAUCGGCGACUUGAGCCGCUUGCUGCAGAAAAGCGUGAAAUGAUGAAAAGAUGAUUG
This is a long non-coding RNA of Arachis duranensis, 757 nucleotides long. RefSeq lists it as uncharacterized. The record is from RefSeq and is a predicted model, not a curated record. Lineage: Eukaryota; Viridiplantae; Streptophyta; Magnoliopsida; Fabales; Fabaceae. The transcript has 7 exons.